UUAUCUGAAAUAAUUUUCAAAAGAUUGCUUGUAGCCGCCUUGCCCUUGCCUAAAUUAAUUUGUCCGAAAUUUAAUACCAAAUCCGCGUCGGGGUUACUUUUUAUGGAUUUAGGAUCCAUAAAAAUCUAUGUUAGAAAGGAUUGAAUUCUUAAUCCUGUUCAUAGUUGGGCAAGACUGGCUUUUGGCGUCGUGCUCAGUAUUAACGGGCGCAUGUUUUUUGUCCUUAUUGGACCUAACACAAACUACACAGGAAACCGUUUUUGAUUUACAUUCUCGGAAAUUGUGUUUUCCGCCGCAUUUACCGCAAAUCUGUUCUUUUACCUUGCAAUUUUUUGAAAGAUGGCCGAAGUCGUAGCACUGAAAGCACUGCAACAUUGAAAAAUGAUCCCUGACCCAAACGCGUUGCCAAUUUAAAUAAAUUGGCCUGUCUAACAUUUUUUGCCUAAGUUUAGGACUAACCUCGAAAACCGCACUGUAUGUUUCCUUAUUUCCUCUUGUUUCGAAAACCGCUAGCUGUUUAAACUCAGAUUUAAAUUUGUUAAUGUCGUUUCCAAAAUAGUCGUCUAUGAAGUCGUUAUGCCCUAAUAUAGUCUCGUGAAUAUCUUUAGCAUUUAAUUCCUUACUAACUCUAUCUAUCCUAACACGCGGCCACCGUUUUUUUAUGUCUUUAACCGCAACAUCAUCUUUAGCCUUAACCGACAAGGACAUUUUAAUUUUUUCCGCGUCCUCUCUUCGCGCGCAAUCUACAACUAAAUCGCCCGAUUUAGUAGCCCUAACAUUCUUGACCGCAAUAUUGUUUUUUAUUGGAUCGACUGUGCGCAUAACGAUUUUCUUUACAAAAUCGGCACUUUUCCCUGCAACUUUCGAUUCGAUUCUGACCGGAAAAGAAUUCUCUGUAACCCUAACAGUAUUAACUACAUUUUUUCCUACUUUUAGUCUAUCCGCAUAUGAAGUAAAUUGACUCGUACUUACAGUUUUUUGUGACUGCUUGGCCUCCUCAAUUUCCCUGUCUUUCCUCGCGAUUGUGGAGCGUAAUUCUUUUAUUACGCCUGUCAUCUGCACCAGACUUUCCAUUAAAGAAUCCGCUGACUCUCGAAUAACCUUCCGGUCCGCUACUUUAAUUGUUUCCGCCUUCAUCGGAACCAACAUAUUCACAAUUUUAUAAAACCGCCUCGCGUCCGCGCUCAAAUUGUCUUCCGGCAAGUUUCCCCUAAUCCUAGUAGUUUCCCCGCUAUCGCGACGUUUCUUUUUCGUGUCGCACGCAAUUUCCUUCUCGAUUUCAUCAGACCAGGAACUGACGUUUUUCCGCUUCGUCGGUUCUUGCGAGAAAUCCAUCGUUGUAAUAUUUACCACACACUCACUCGCGUUGCUCGAAACCGAAUGACGCCGAUUGGUUGCCCCGGUGGGCGUGUCACUGCGCUGUUCGCUCAUCACACGUCCGACUGCUACGGCUGCUCGAUGCGAACUGGUAACUUAAGACAGCAGGACGGUGGCCAUGGAAGUCGGAAUCCGCCAAGGAGUGUGUAACAACUCACCUGCCGAAGUUACUAGCCCUGAAAAUGGAUGGCGCUGUAGCGUCGUGCUUAUACUCUGCCGUCAGCGGCAGGAGCGGCGCGGCCCUAGCGGUCGCGUCACGAAGCUCUGACGAGUAGGAGGGUCGCGGCGGUGAGCGCAGAAGGAUUGGGCGUGGGCCCGUCUGGAGCUGCCGUCGGCGCAGAUCUUGGUGGUAGUAGCAAAUACUCCAGCGAGGCCCUGGAGGACUGACGUGGAGAAGGGUUUCGUGUGAACAGCCGUUGCACACGAGUCAGUCGAUCCUAAGCCCUAGGCGAAAGCCGAUGUCGAUGUGGCGUGUUUAUUGAACCAUGAUAAGCAGUCCGUUCACGUCCGACGGGCGAAAGGGAAUCCGGUUCCUAUUCCGGAACCCGGCAGCGGAACCGUUAACAAGUCGGGCCCUCGCAUGAGAGUUCGUCGGGGUAACCCAAAAGGACCCGGAGACGCCGUCGGGAGAUCCGGGAAGAGUUUUCUUUUCUGCAUGAGCGUUCGAGUUCCAUGGAAUCCUCUAGCAGGGAGAUAUGGUUUGGAACGCGAAGAGCACCGCAGUUGCGGCGGUGUCCGGAUCUUCCCCUCGGACCUUGAAAAUCCGGGAGAGGGCCACGUGCGGGUGUCGCGCCGGAUCGUACCCAUAUCCGCAGCCGGUCUCCAAGGUUAAGAGCCUCUAGUCGAUAGAAUAAUGUAGGUAAGGGAAGUCGGCAAAUUGGAUCCGUAACUUCGGGAUAAGGAUUGGCUCUGAGGAUCGGGGCGUGUCGGGCUUGGUCGGGAAGCGGGUCCUGGCUGACGUGCCGGGCCUGGGCGAGGUGAUGGCGCGGGCUUCGUGCCCGUGUCGGAUCCGAGCUCGGUCCCGUGCCUUGGCCUCCCGCGGAACUUCCUUGCUGCGAGGCGUCGGUUUGCGGCUCGCGUCGCGGCCGGCUGUCCUCUUCGGCCGCCAUUUAACGGUCAACUCAGAACUGGCACGGACUAGGAGAAUCCGACUGUCUAAUUAAAACAAAGCAUUGCGAUGGCCCCAGCGGGUGUUGACGCAAUGUGAUUUCUGCCCAGUGCUCUGAAUGUCAACGUGAAGAAAUUCAAGCAAGCGCGGGUAAACGGCGGGAGUAACUAUGACUCUCUUGGGACCAACUCGGCUCUCACUGCAAUGCAGGAGUGUUCCCGAGGGGGAGACCCCAAGGGGUGAGUCCGUUGCUCCGCCCGUGGAGUGUCACGGCGCUUCGGCGCCGUGGCAUUUCGCGGGUUCAAGGUGUCUUAAUUGCACCAGGGGUUUGGUGAGAAGUUUACCCUUCAAUGACCCAUGCUCAAGACCGACCACGUGCCUCCUCGGUGGCGACGCUGGU
Agrilus planipennis (emerald ash borer) is the source of this 2885-nucleotide non-coding RNA. NCBI's taxonomy places the organism in Eukaryota, Metazoa, Arthropoda, Insecta, Coleoptera, Buprestidae. The record is from Rfam.